GUGCCAGCCGCCGCGGUAAUACGAAGGGGGCUAGCGUUGCUCGGAAUUACUGGGCGUAAAGGGCGCGUAGGCGGACAGUUUAGUCAGAGGUUAAAGCCCAGGGCUCAACCUUGGAAUCGCCUUUGAUACUGGCUGUCUUGAGUACGGGAGAGGUGUGUGGAACUCCGAGUGUAGAGGUGAAAUUCGUAGAUAUUCGGAAGAACACCAGUGGCGAAGGCGACACACUGGCCCGUUACUGACGCUGAGGCGCGAAAGCGUGGGGAGCAAACAGGAUUAGAUACCCUCGUAGUCC
This 292-nucleotide ribosomal RNA is filed under the name uncultured bacterium. Its description in RNAcentral is "partial 16S ribosomal RNA". It matches the Rfam family "Bacterial small subunit ribosomal RNA", at positions 505 to 796 of the family's 1533-position model. The record is from RNAcentral.